Molecule: ribosomal RNA, 468 nt
Filed under: uncultured bacterium
Lineage: Bacteria
Description: partial 16S ribosomal RNA
Rfam family: Bacterial small subunit ribosomal RNA
Source: RNAcentral
GACGAACGCUGGCGGCGUGCUUAACACAUGCAAGUCGAACGGAAAGGGCCUGCUUUUGUGGGGUGCUCGAGUGGCGAACGGGUGAGUAACACGUGAGUAACCUGCCCUGUACUGGGGGAUAACUUCAGGAAACUGGGGCUAAUACCGGAUAGGAGCUCCUGCUGCAUGGGGGGGGUUGGAAAGUUUCGGCGGUUGGGGCUGGACUUGCGGCUUAUUAGCUUGUGGGUGGGGUAGUGGCUUACCAAGGCUUUGACGGGUAGCCGGCCUGGGAGGGUGACCGGCCACAUUGGGCCUGAGGUACGGCCCAGACUCCUACGGGAGGCAGCAGUGGGAAAUAUUGCCCAAUGGGCGGAAGCCUGAUGCAGCAACGCCGCGUGCGGGAUGCCGGCCUUCGGGUUAUAAACCGCUUUAGCCUGUGACGAAGCGUGAGUGACGGUACCGGGUAAAGAAGCACCGGCUAACUACGUG